This 635-nucleotide long non-coding RNA is filed under the name Lynx canadensis (Canada lynx). RNAcentral's name for it is "lncRNA (ENSLCNG00005006779.1)". Lineage: Eukaryota; Metazoa; Chordata; Mammalia; Carnivora; Felidae. The record is from RNAcentral.
CCGGCGCGCAGCAGGUGCUCGGCCUGCAGGAGCGGCGCUUCCGCCAGCAGGACCACGAAGGCCGCGCCGUCGCCGCUGCUCUCCGCCUGCGUGUGGGCCGCCUCGCGCAGGAGCCGCGCCGCGGGGUGCUCCAGCUCCAGCGCGCGCAGGAUGGCCGCGGCGUAGCCCGUCAGCACGGUGGUUCCUCUGGCGGUGACCAGGAGCUUCUGCCGGCCGUGGGGGCCGUAGCAAGGCCGGAUGACCCUGGCCAGGGUCUGCGCCGCCGGCAAGCUGCGGAGCAGGUGGCAGGUGUGUGAUGUCCUCCUUCCCAUGAUAAUGAUGUCACCGAGCUGGCAGAGGCGGGUCAACACGAGGGAGGCAAAGACGCUGACAACCUACAGGCAAACUGGGGAAAUGUUUGCAGCCGAGUGAAAGUGACCAGCCUCCCAGAGGCUGGGAAGUUGCCUGCCUGCCCUUUUUGUGUUUAUCUUGUUAAGUACUGACAGACUUAAAAUAUAGACCCCUAGAGGGCAAGAUUCAUAUCUAUACGGAGUGUGCUGCAGAACAUACACUCAUGCCUCAUACUCUUCUGCACAAAUUAUUUUUGACGGUGAGUGUUCUGUUUAAUUACUUCUCGGUUUCUUCCUUAAUUUUUC